RNAcentral lists this long non-coding RNA (1399 nucleotides) under Vulpes vulpes (red fox). RNAcentral describes it as "lncRNA (ENSVVUG00000029078.1)". The record is from RNAcentral. Lineage: Eukaryota; Metazoa; Chordata; Mammalia; Carnivora; Canidae.
GCCCUUCCUUACCUGAGGCUCCCCUGCAAUGACACCAGCACCCUCUCAGGGGCCCAUGAUAGCAGAGACCUCUGUACUCACGAUCCUCUUCCCCUUCUCACCUCGCCUUCCUCCUGGGGAGCACAGCUGCCGAUAACACUGCCUGCUCUGUUCCUGCCUCAGUUGCUCUGCACAAAUCACCUGGUUUCUUCAGUCCUUCCCUGUUCUGUGUGCCCACCCAUCUCAGGGUGACAUCGUUAACAGAUGAUUUUCUCACUCUGGGAAAGCACCAUGUCCCUUCAUGGUUUGAGCAUGGUCUUCAGGCCCUGGUCUCAUUUUCUCUUCUGUGUGCAGAACACGGUCACUCCUCUCUCAAGACAGACAUGAGUACCUUCCCCUGAGGUGAAGGUUUGCAAACACCCCCCCCAACAUAUGCUCACUGUCUUCAACCCUCCAUGAACAUUCCCAUGGGGACACCGAGAGGGGCUGGUCUCAAGUCAUCGACAUCCAGCUCACCCCUGGAGACCUAGAACAGUGAGGAGGACUCACAGGCCCACAAGCUGCAGGCACCUUGCAGGGAUGGCCCCCAGAGCCAGCCUGGACUGAGGGAUGCUGCCUGCAGGUCUCCUGUUCCUGUCCUGUACCCAGAGAGGAGGCACAGGGUUCUGUCUUAGGCCCUUGUCACCCUGACAUGGCCACGCCCACCCCAGGGCCUUACUCUCCAGGCCUGUACACCAGCCUCAUGCUGUGGGCCCUGCUCCUGCCACUCAAGGUCAGGGUUCAAUUAUGCUGAGCCAAGAAAUCAGUGUUUGUGCUUCUUUCCCAGAUCUUCUACUUCAUGCACAGAGAAGCCUCUACUUACCUGAGGUUCUCCGGCAGUGACACCAGCACACUCUCAUGGGCUCAUCAUAGCAGACACCUCGGGACAGAGUCCCUCUGCUCUGUGUUCCCUGUGUCUUGUCCUCAUCUCCACAGCAGUUCCUGGCUCUCCUGGAAAAGGACUGCACAGAUCCCUCCCGCUAGAACCCAGGCCAUGGAGGAAUCCUGAUUAGAGACGACACCCCAGACCUCUACCCAUCCCUGGAGGGUUACUCUCACAUGGUGGGAGCACAGGAGUCAGAGAAGCAGAAGAGGAGGCUUGCCUGGGGUGAGAAAGAAGGGGAGUUGACCAGAGACCAGCAAGGGGAAGUAGGAUGGAGUCUGUGGGUUUUUGCAGGACAGGGGUCCCAGUUAUGCAGUCCUUCCUCUGACAUAGUCCUGGGGCUGGGUACCUUGCCUUUAGUGGGAACUAAAUAGUCAUGUCCUCUCUGAACUGGGAUGGGUACUUGGACCUGGGCCGGUGUGGGUCCCAGCAGCUACUUCCUCCAGGCCCACCAGGGGGAAGCUAGUGCAUCAUCAAUCCUCCCUGUCACAGGGCCAC